RNAcentral lists this ribosomal RNA (253 nucleotides) under uncultured bacterium. RNAcentral's name for it is "partial 16S ribosomal RNA". It matches the Rfam family "Bacterial small subunit ribosomal RNA", at positions 524 to 776 of the family's 1533-position model. The record is from RNAcentral.
UACGUAGGGUGCGAGCGUUGUCCGGAAUUAUUGGGCGUAAAGGGCUCGUAGGCGGUUUGUCGCGUCGGGAGUGAAAACCAGGUGCUUAACACCUGGCUUGCUUUCGAUACGGGCAGACUAGAGGUAUGCAGGGGAGAACGGAAUUCCUGGUGUAGCGGUGAAAUGCGCAGAUAUCAGGAGGAACACUGGUGGCGAAGGCGGUUCUCUGGGCAUUACCUGACGCUGAGGAGCGAAAGUGUGGGGAGCGAACAGG